RNAcentral lists this ribosomal RNA (433 nucleotides) under uncultured bacterium. Its description in RNAcentral is "partial 16S ribosomal RNA". It matches the Rfam family "Bacterial small subunit ribosomal RNA", at positions 29 to 507 of the family's 1533-position model. The record is from RNAcentral.
AACGAACGCUGGCGGCAUGCCUAACACAUGCAAGUCGAACGAGACCUUCGGGUCUAGUGGCGCACGGGUGCGUAACGCGUGGGAACCUGCCCUUAGGUUCGGAAUCACUCCCCGAAAGGGGUGCUAAUACCGGCUAAUGUCUUCGGACCAAAGGUUUAUCGCCUUUGGAUGGGCCCGCGUUGGAUUAGCUAGUUGGUAGGGUAAAAGCCUACCAAGGCGACGAUCCAUAGCUGGUCUGAGAGGAUGAUCAGCCACACUGGGACUGAGACACGGCCCAGACUCCUACGGGAGGCAGCAGUGGGGAAUAUUGGACAAUGGGCGAAAGCCUGAUCCAGCAAUGCCGCGUGAGUGAUGAAGGCCUUAGGGUUGUAAAGCUCUUUUACCCGGGAUGAUAAUGACGGUACCGGGAGAAUAAGCCCCGGCUAACUCCGUG